AGAGUUUGAUCCUGGCUCAGAACGAACGCUGGCGGCAGGCCUAACACAUGCAAGUCGAGCGAGACCUUCGGGUCUAGCGGCGGACGGGUGAGUAACACGUGGGAACGUACCCUUUGCUACGGAAUAGUCUCGGGAAACUGGGGGUAAUACCGUAUGUGCCCUUCGGGGGAAAGAUUUAUCGGCAAAGGAUCGGCCCGCGUUGGAUUAGGUAGUUGGUGGGGUAAUGGCCCACCAAGCCGACGAUCCAUAGCUGGUUUGAGAGGAUGAUCAGCCACACUGGGACUGAGACACGGCCCAGACUCCUACGGGAGGCAGCAGUGGGGAAUCUUAGACAAUGGGGGAAACCCUGAUCUAGCCAUGCCGCGUGAGUGAUGAAGGCCUUAGGGUUGUAAAGCUCUUUCAGCUGGGAAGAUAAUGACGGUACCAGCAGAAGAAGCCCCGGCUAACUCCGUG
This 453-nucleotide ribosomal RNA is filed under the name uncultured Paracoccus sp. RNAcentral's name for it is "bacterial SSU rRNA". It matches the Rfam family "Bacterial small subunit ribosomal RNA", at positions 8 to 507 of the family's 1533-position model. Lineage: Bacteria; Pseudomonadati; Pseudomonadota; Alphaproteobacteria; Rhodobacterales; Paracoccaceae. The record is from RNAcentral.